This 449-nucleotide ribosomal RNA is filed under the name uncultured bacterium. Its description in RNAcentral is "partial 16S ribosomal RNA". It matches the Rfam family "Bacterial small subunit ribosomal RNA", at positions 29 to 523 of the family's 1533-position model. The record is from RNAcentral.
AGCGAACGCUGGCGGCAGGCCUAACACAUGCAAGUCGAGCGCCGUAGCAAUACGGAGCGGCAGACGGGAGAGUAACACGUGGGAACGUACCCUUCAGUACGGAACAACCAAGGGAAACUUUGGCUAAUACCGUAUACGUCCGUAAGGAGAAAGAUUUAUCGCUGAAGGAUCGGCCCGCGUCUGAUUAGCUAGUUGGUGAGGUAACGGCUCACCAAGGCUACGAUCAGUAGAUGGUCUGAGAGGAUGAUCAGCCUCACUGGGACUGAGACACGGCCCGAACUCCUACGGGAGGCAGCAGUGGGGAAUAUUGGACAAUGGGCGCAAGCCUGAUCCAGCCAUGCCGCGUGGGUGAUGAAGGCCCUAGGGUUGUAAAGCCCUUUCGGCGGGGAAGAUAAUGACGGUACCCGCAGAAGAAGCACCGGCUAACUACGUGCCAGCAGCCGCCGUAA